Molecule: ribosomal RNA, 401 nt
Filed under: uncultured bacterium
Lineage: Bacteria
Description: bacterial SSU rRNA
Rfam family: Bacterial small subunit ribosomal RNA
Source: RNAcentral
GGGCCCGCACAAGCGGUGGAGCAUGUGGUUUAAUUCGAUGAUACGCGAGGAACCUUACCAGGGCUUAAAUGCAGUUUGACAGGUCCCGAAAGGGAUUUUUCUUCGGACAGAUUGCAAGGUGCUGCAUGGUUGUCGUCAGCUCGUGCCGUGAGGUGUUAGGUUAAGUCCUGCAACGAGCGCAACCCCUAUUCUUAGUUGCCAGCGGUUCGGCCGGGGACUCUAAGAAGACUGCCAGCGCAAGCUGUGAGGAAGGUGGGGAUGACGUCAAAUCAUCACGGCCCUUACGUCCUGGGCUACACACGUGCUACAAUGGUGUUGACAGAGGGCAGCCACAUGGCGACAUGGAGCUAAUCCUUAAACAACAUCUCAGUUCGGAUCGGAGUCUGCAACUCGACUCCGUG